UACGUAGGGUGCAAGCGUUAAUCGGAAUUACUGGGCGUAAAGCGUGCGCAGGCGGUUGUGUAAGACAGAUGUGAAAUCCCCGGGCUCAACCUGGGAACUGCAUUUGUGACUGCACAGCUGGAGUGCGGCAGAGGGGGAUGGAAUUCCGCGUGUAGCAGUGAAAUGCGUAGAUAUCAGGAGGAACACCGAUGGCGAAGGCAGGUCUCUGGGCUGACACUGACGCUCAUGCACGAAAGCGUGGGGAGCAAACAGG
RNAcentral lists this ribosomal RNA (253 nucleotides) under uncultured bacterium. Its description in RNAcentral is "partial 16S ribosomal RNA". It matches the Rfam family "Bacterial small subunit ribosomal RNA", at positions 524 to 776 of the family's 1533-position model. The record is from RNAcentral.